UGCUUGGUCAUGAUGUGAAAUGCAAU
RNAcentral lists this non-coding RNA (26 nucleotides) under Homo sapiens (human). The record is from RNAcentral. Lineage: Eukaryota; Metazoa; Chordata; Mammalia; Primates; Hominidae.